CUCGAUAAGGUGAAGAGACGUUGCGGUUUUUGGCAAUCAAAAUCAAUCUACUCUCUAAGAAUGGCAGCUACUACAAGCUGUGUUUGGGUGCCAAAUCGAAGUUCAUUUUUAGGUUCAAGUCAACAUGUUUGGGGUAAUAAGUUAGCGGUAACCAGUAGCAUUUCGAUUACGAGGCCAAUACCAUCCCUAUCGCCUUUCAUGGUUGAAGCCAAAUCCAGAACCAGGAGAGAAGACCGCACUGCCCGCCAUUCUCGUAUCAGGAAGAAGGUUGAUGGUACACCAGAUAGGCCAAGGCUCUGUGUUUUCCGCUCCAACAAGCACCUCUAUGUUCAGGUGGUUGAUGAUACUAAGAUGCACACACUUGCUUCAGCUUCAACUAUGCAGAAACCUAUCUCUGAGGAGUUCAAUUACAGUUCUGGUCCCACCAUUGAAGUUGCAAAGAGAGUAGGUGAAGUAAUUGCAAAGCCCUGUUUGGAGAAAGGGAUCACGAAAGUGGCCUUUGAUCGAGGUGGAUACCUAUACCAUGGAAGUGUAGAAGCCCUGGCUAAUGCAGCUCGGGAGCAUGGCCUUCAAUUUUAAAAAAUACCUUAGGAGAAAUUCUAAGAUGUAAGAGAGCAAGAUAGUGUUAUGGCUGUGGAGCGCCGACAUGGACAUGGUACCACGUCAGAUUACGAGCGAGUAGAUUUCCUUGAAGGUUUAAUGGAGAGCUUGUUGAGUGAGAUUGAGGUUCUGGUUAAAAUAUAUGGUGAUGGAAAGCUUCGUGGUUCAAUCACAAAAGAAUGUUGUCAUUUGCGAAUUCAAGUUCACAGACGGGUUGCAUUUUCAAUAAAGCAGUGAUGUUGGUAAAAGAAGGUUGAUGUGAGAAUUGUGGAGUGAGGGCCUCACGUCAUUGUCAUGGGCAUGCGUACAGGGGAUGAUAAUCUAUUGAUCAUCAUAACGUGCAAAACGUUGUCAUUUGCGAAUUCAAGUUCACAGACGGAUUGCAUUUUCAAUAAAGCAGUGAUGUUGGUAAAAGAAGGUGGUGUGAGAAUUGUGGAGUGAGGGCCUCACGUCAUUGUCAUGGGCAUGCGUACAGGGGAUGAUAAUCUUUUGAUCAUCAUAACGUGCAUUUCACACCAAACUCAUGGGACCGUCAGCAGCUUAUUAUGGGUUAGAUAAGUCAACUAAUUCGACACCAAUCAUUGACAUGGUGGACCCAACAAUUUGUCUUGAGCAUUACAAAGUCGUAAAUAAAUGUAAAGAUUAUCUCUCCUACCCCCAUCCC
Molecule: RNA transcript, 1264 nt
Organism: Mangifera indica (mango)
Lineage: Eukaryota; Viridiplantae; Streptophyta; Magnoliopsida; Sapindales; Anacardiaceae
Gene name: 50S ribosomal protein L18, chloroplastic-like
Exons: 5
Source: RefSeq, a predicted model, not a curated record